AUGCCGCAGGUGAUGGCUAUUCCCCUCCUGAGGAUGCACCAGUCGGGGAGGAGACCCUUGCUCAUGGAAUUACUGCGGCUAAGGAGGACACCGACUGAGACCACUCCAGCACUCACCACGUGUGCCCAGGCCCGGGGCUGCGAGGGACACGGAGACAUCAAGACAUGGCCCCAGCCUCCAGGAGUGUGUGGUCUAGGGGGAGAGAAGAGACCCUAAACACACCAGCAGCACAAGGGUGGUGGGAGCACCGGGGGGCCUAACAAGCAGGAACAGCGAUGUGCAC
RNAcentral lists this long non-coding RNA (283 nucleotides) under Rhinopithecus bieti (black snub-nosed monkey). RNAcentral's name for it is "lncRNA (ENSRBIG00000045509.1)". Lineage: Eukaryota; Metazoa; Chordata; Mammalia; Primates; Cercopithecidae. The record is from RNAcentral.